GGUGAACGCUGGCGGCGUGCCUAAGACAUGCAAGUCGAGCGGGCCGCGGGGUUUUACUCCGUGGUCAGCGGCGGACGGGUGAGUAACGCGUGGGUGACCUACCCGGAAGAGGGGGACAACCCGGGGAAACUCGGGCUAAUCCCCCAUGUGGACCCGCCCCUUGGGGUGUGUCCAAAGGGCUUUGCCCGCUUCCGGAUGGGCCCGCGUCCCAUCAGCUAGUUGGUGGGGUAAUGGCCCACCAAGGCGACGACGGGUAGCCGGCCUGGGAGGGUGGCCGGCCACAGGGGCACUGAGACACGGGCGCCACUCCUACGGGAGGCAGCAGUUAGGAAUCUUCCGGAAUGAGCGCAAGCCUGACGGAGCGACGCCGCUUGGAGGAAGAAGCCCUGCGGGGUGUAGACUCCUGAACCCGGGACGAAACCACCGACGAGGGGACUGACGGUACCGGAGUAAUAGCGCCGGCCAACUCCGUG
Molecule: ribosomal RNA, 473 nt
Filed under: uncultured bacterium
Lineage: Bacteria
Description: partial 16S ribosomal RNA
Rfam family: Bacterial small subunit ribosomal RNA
Source: RNAcentral